This 1141-nucleotide ribosomal RNA is filed under the name Candidatus Synechococcus spongiarum. RNAcentral describes it as "bacterial SSU rRNA". It matches the Rfam family "Bacterial small subunit ribosomal RNA", at positions 376 to 1533 of the family's 1533-position model. Lineage: Bacteria; Bacillati; Cyanobacteriota; Cyanophyceae; Synechococcales; Synechococcaceae. The record is from RNAcentral.
CGCAAGCCUGACGGAGCAACGCCGCGUGAGGGAUGAAGGCCUUUGGGCUGUAAACCUCUUUUCUCAAGGAAGAACAUCUGACGGUACUUGAGGAAUAAGCCACGGCUAGUUCCGUGCCAGCAGCCGCGGUAAUACGGGAGUGGCAAGCGUUAUCCGGAAUUAUUGGGCGUAAAGCGUCCGCAGGCGGCCGUUUAAGUCUGUUGUUAAAUCGUGGAGCUCAACUCCAUCACGGCAAUGGAAACUGUUCGGCUUGAGUAUGGUAGGGGCAGAGGGAAUUUCCGGUGUAGCGGUGAAAUGCGUAGAUAUCGGGAAGAACACCAGUGGCAAAAGCGCUCUGCUGGGCCAUUACUGACGCUCAUGGACGAAAGCCAGGGGAGCGAAAGGGGUUAGAUACCCCUGUAGUCCUGGCCGUAAACGAUGAACACUAGAUGUUGGGGGAAUCGACCCCUCCAGUGUCGUAGCUAACGCGUUAAGUGUUCCGCCUGGGGAGUACGCACGCAAGUGUGAAACUCAAAGGAAUUGACGGGGGCCCGCACAAGCGGUGGAGUAUGUGGUUUAAUUCGAUGCAACGCGAAGAACCUUACCAAGGCUUGACAUCCUGCGAAUCUCCAAGAAAUUGGAGAGUGCCUUCGGGAACGCAGUGACAGGUGGUGCAUGGCUGUCGUCAGCUCGUGUCGUGAGAUGUUGGGUUAAGUCCCGCAACGAGCGCAACCCACGUUUUUAGUUGCCAGCAUUCAGUUGGGCACUCUAGAAAGACUGCCGGUGACAAACCGGAGGAAGGUGUGGACGACGUCAAGUCAUCAUGCCCCUUACGCCUUGGGCUACACACGUACUACAAUGCUGCGGACAAAGAGUAGCGAUCUUGCAAAAGUUAGCUAAUCUCGUAAACCGUGGCUCAGUUCAGAUCGUAGGCUGCAACUCGCCUACGUGAAGGAGGAAUCGCUAGUAAUCGCAGGUCAGCAUACUGCGGUGAAUACGUUCCCGGGCCUUGUACACACCGCCCGUCACACCAUGGGAGUUGGCCAUGCCCGAAGUCGUUACUCUAACCUUUUGGAAGAGGGCGCCGAAGGCAGGGCUAAUGACUGGGGUGAAGUCGUAACAAGGUAGCCGUAGCGGAAGCUGCGGCUGGAUCACCUCCUAA